RNAcentral lists this ribosomal RNA (166 nucleotides) under Deguelia negrensis. RNAcentral's name for it is "5.8S ribosomal RNA". It matches the Rfam family "5.8S ribosomal RNA". Rfam says of the family: 5.8S ribosomal RNA (5.8S rRNA) is a component of the large subunit of the eukaryotic ribosome. It is transcribed by RNA polymerase I as part of the 45S precursor that also contains 18S and 28S rRNA. Functionally, it is thought that 5.8S rRNA may be involved in ribosome translocation. The record is from RNAcentral. Lineage: Eukaryota; Viridiplantae; Streptophyta; Magnoliopsida; Fabales; Fabaceae.
CACAAAAUGACUCUCGGCAACGGAUAUCUCGGCUCUUGCAUCGAUGAARAACGCAGMRAAAUGCGAUACUUGGUGUGAAUUGCAGAAUCCCGUGAACCAUCGAGUCUUUGAACGCAAGUUGCGCCCAAAGCCAUUAGGUUGAGGGCACGCCUGCCUGGGUGUCACA